Molecule: ribosomal RNA, 706 nt
Filed under: uncultured Pseudomonadota bacterium
Lineage: Bacteria; Pseudomonadati; Pseudomonadota
Also listed under: 1 other name
Description: bacterial SSU rRNA
Rfam family: Bacterial small subunit ribosomal RNA
Source: RNAcentral
AUUGAACGCUGGCGGCAGGCCUAACACAUGCAAGUCGAACGGUAACAGGAAGAAGCUUGCUUCUUUGCUGACGAGUGGCGGACGGGUGAGUAAUGUCUGGGAAACUGCCUGAUGGAGGGGGAUAACUACUGGAAACGGUAGCUAAUACCGCAUAACGUCGCAAGACCAAAGAGGGGGACCUUCGGGCCUCUUGCCAUCGGAUGUGCCCAGAUGGGAUUAGCUAGUAGGUGGGGUAACGGCUCACCUAGGCGACGAUCCCUAGCUGGUCUGAGAGGAUGACCAGCCACACUGGAACUGAGACACGGUCCAGACUCCUACGGGAGGCAGCAGUGGGGAAUAUUGCACAAUGGGCGCAAGCCUGAUGCAGCCAUGCCGCGUGUAUGAAGAAGGCCUUCGGGUUGUAAAGUACUUUCAGCGGGGAGGAAGGGAGUAAAGUUAAUACCUUUGCUCAUUGACGUUACCCGCAGAAGAAGCACCGGCUAACUCCGUGCCAGCAGCCGCGGUAAUACGGAGGGUGCAAGCGUUAAUCGGAAUUACUGGGCGUAAAGCGCACGCAGGCGGUUUGUUAAGUCAGAUGUGAAAUCCCCGGGCUCAACCUGGGAACUGCAUCUGAUACUGGCAAGCUUGAGUCUCGUAGAGGGGGGUAGAAUUCCAGGUGUAGCGGUGAAAUGCGUAGAGAUCUGGAGGAAUACCGGUGGCGAAGGCG